GAUGAACGCUGGCGGCGUGCUUAACACAUGCAAGUCGAACGAGAAAUGGAGACGGAAACCUUCGGGCGGAAGGCUUCAUUUCGAGUGGCGGACGGGUGAGUAACGCGUGGGUAACCUGCCUCAUACAGGGGGAUAACAGUUGGAAACGACUGUUAAUACCGCAUAAGACCACAGCACCGCAUGGUGCGGGGGUAAAAACUCCGGUGGUAUGAGAUGGACCCGCGUUCGAUUAGCCAGUUGGCGGGGUAACGGCCCACCAAAGCGACGAUCGAUAGCCGAUCUGAGAGGAUGACCGGCGACAUUGGGACUGAGACACGGACCAAACUACUACGGGAGGCAGCAGUGGGGAAUAUUGCACAAUGGGGGAAAGCCUGAUGCAGCGACGCCGCGUGAGUGAAGAAGUACUUCGGUAUGUAAAGCUCUAUCAGCAGGGAAGAAAAUGACGGUACCUGAGGAAGAAGCCCCGGCUAACUACGUG
This 478-nucleotide ribosomal RNA is filed under the name uncultured bacterium. RNAcentral describes it as "partial 16S ribosomal RNA". It matches the Rfam family "Bacterial small subunit ribosomal RNA", at positions 28 to 507 of the family's 1533-position model. The record is from RNAcentral.